UGAAGUCGGAAUUGCUAGUAAUGGCAGGUCAGCAUACUGCCGUGAAUACGUUCCCGGGCCUUGUACACACCGCCUGUCACACCAUGAGAGUUGGAGAUACCCGAAGCCUAUGAGCUAACUUUUAGAGGCAGUAGUCGAAGGUAGAAUUAAUGAUUGGGGUGAAGUCGUAACAAGGUACC
RNAcentral lists this ribosomal RNA (179 nucleotides) under uncultured bacterium. RNAcentral describes it as "partial 16S ribosomal RNA". It matches the Rfam family "Bacterial small subunit ribosomal RNA", at positions 1321 to 1500 of the family's 1533-position model. The record is from RNAcentral.